CUACGGGAGGCAGCAGUGGGGAAUCUUGGACAAUGGGCGCAAGCCUGAUCCAGCCAUGCCGCGUGGAUGAUGAAGGCCUUCGGGUUGUAAAAUCCUUUCAACGGGGACGAUAAUGACGGUACCCGUAGAAGAAGCCCCGGCUAACUUCGUGCCAGCAGCCGCGGUAAUACGAAGGGGGCUAGCGUUGCUCGGAAUUACUGGGCGUAAAGCGCACGUAGGCGGAUAUUUAAGUCGGAGGUGAAAGCCCAGGGCUCAACCCUGGAACUGCCCUCGAUACUGGGUAUCUGGACCAAAGUAGAGGUUAGUGGAAUUCCGAGUGUAGAGGUGAAAUUCGUAGAUAUUCGGAGGAACACCAGUGGCGAAGGCGACUAACUGGACUUUUGGUGACGCUGAGGUGCGAAAGCGUGGGGAGCAAACAGGAUUAGAUACCCCGGUAGUCCU
RNAcentral lists this ribosomal RNA (441 nucleotides) under uncultured bacterium. RNAcentral describes it as "bacterial SSU rRNA". It matches the Rfam family "Bacterial small subunit ribosomal RNA", at positions 339 to 797 of the family's 1533-position model. The record is from RNAcentral.